RNAcentral lists this ribosomal RNA (427 nucleotides) under uncultured beta proteobacterium. RNAcentral's name for it is "bacterial SSU rRNA". It matches the Rfam family "Bacterial small subunit ribosomal RNA", at positions 355 to 774 of the family's 1533-position model. Lineage: Bacteria; Pseudomonadati; Pseudomonadota; Betaproteobacteria. The record is from RNAcentral.
UGGGGAAUUUUGGACAAUGGGCGAAAGCCUGAUCCAGCCAUGCCGCGUGAGCGAAGAAGGCCUUCGGGUUGUAAAGCUCUUUUAGUCGGAAAGAAAGAGUUGCAAUGAAUAAUUGUGAUUUAUGACGGUACCGACAGAAAAAGCACCGGCUAACUACGUGCCAGCAGCCGCGGUAAUACGUAGGGUGCGAGCGUUAAUCGGAAUUACUGGGCGUAAAGGGUGCGCAGGCGGUCUUGCAAGUCAGAUGUGAAAGCCCCGGGCUUAACCUGGGAAUUGCGUUUGAAACUACAAGGCUAGAGUGCAGCAGAGGGGAGUGGAAUUCCAUGUGUAGCAGUGAAAUGCGUAGAGAUGUGGAAGAACACCGAUGGCGAAGGCAGCUCCCUGGGUUGACACUGACGCUCAUGCACGAAAGCGUGGGGAGCAAACA